RNAcentral lists this ribosomal RNA (498 nucleotides) under uncultured bacterium. RNAcentral describes it as "partial 16S ribosomal RNA". It matches the Rfam family "Bacterial small subunit ribosomal RNA", at positions 28 to 507 of the family's 1533-position model. The record is from RNAcentral.
GACGAACGCUGGCGGCGUGCCUAAUACAUGCAAGUCGAACGAGAGCAACCGGUGCUUGCACUGGUCAAUCUAGUGGCGAACGGGUGAGUAACACGUGGGUAACCUGCCCAUCAGAGGGGGAUAACAUCCGGAAACGGAUGCUAAAACCGCAUAGGUCUUCGAACCGCAUGGUUUGAAGAGGAAAAGAGGCGCAAGCUUCUGCUGAUGGAUGGACCCGCGGUGCAUUAGCUGGUUGGUGAGGUAACGGCUCACCAAGGCCGUGAUGCAUAGCCGACCUGAGAGGGUGAUCGGCCACAUUGGGACUGAGACACGGCCCAAACUCCUACGGGAGGCAGCAGUAGGGAAUCUUCCGCAAUGGACGCAAGUCUGACGGAGCAACGCCGCGUGAGUGAAGAAGGUUUUCGGAUCGUAAAACUCUGUUGUUAGAGAAGAACAAGUGCUAGAGUAACUGUUAGCGACUUGACGGUAUCUAACCAGAAAGCCACGGCUAUCUACGUG